UUAAUGUUCAACAUGGACUCACGGCCUAUAUAAACACACACCUAAAGAACACGGUUAAUAAACCAAAAACUGCUAAGAGAGCAUAUUUCUUGAAAACGAUGGAGACAGCAAAAAAAUAUUCUCUAGCAAUGGUAUUUUUGUUAGCAUUUUUCAUCAUUGCAUCAGAUAUGGCUACAGAAUCACAAGCUAAAGGGGUGAGUGAGGAUAUUCUCCAAGAUUGUGUCAAUGAUGCUGAUUGUGUACGUAAACAUUGGCCUUGUCCAUCCGGCACUAUUCCUGUAUGCCUUCAACGCUCGUGUACAUGUGUACACUAAAUAAACUUUCAACAAUUAUAUUACUAGUUUAUAUAUUAAGUUAUAAAGUAAUCGUCAUGUCUAGACGAGAAUUAUGAAUAAAAUGGAUUUCAACAUAUUAAAGGUAGAAUAUUAAAAUAAUCUCAAUGUCUAAUAUAUCUAAAAAUCAAUGUUUGUAUA
Molecule: long non-coding RNA, 473 nt
Organism: Lathyrus oleraceus (garden pea)
Lineage: Eukaryota; Viridiplantae; Streptophyta; Magnoliopsida; Fabales; Fabaceae
Exons: 2
Source: RefSeq, a predicted model, not a curated record